AAAUUGAAGAGUUUGAUCAUGGCUCAGAUUGAACGCUGGCGGCAGGCCUAACACAUGCAAGUCGAACGGUAACAGGAAGAAGCUUGCUUCUUCGCUGACGAGUGGCGGACGGGUGAGUAAUGUCUGGGAAACUGCCUGAUGGAGGGGGAUAACUACUGGAAACGGUAGCUAAUACCGCAUAACGUCGCAAGACCAAAGAGGGGGACCUUCGGGCCUCUUGCCAUCGGAUGUGCCCAGAUGGGAUUAGCUAGUAGGUGGGGUAACGGCUCACCUAGGCGACGAUCCCUAGCUGGUCUGAGAGGAUGACCAGCCACACUGGAACUGAGACACGGUCCAGACUCCUACGGGAGGCAGCAGUGGGG
This 362-nucleotide ribosomal RNA is filed under the name Escherichia coli. Its description in RNAcentral is "bacterial SSU rRNA". It matches the Rfam family "Bacterial small subunit ribosomal RNA", at positions 1 to 359 of the family's 1533-position model. Lineage: Bacteria; Pseudomonadati; Pseudomonadota; Gammaproteobacteria; Enterobacterales; Enterobacteriaceae. The record is from RNAcentral.